Non-coding RNA from Trichonephila clavipes, 75 nucleotides. The record is from the annotation of a GenBank genome assembly. NCBI's taxonomy places the organism in Eukaryota, Metazoa, Arthropoda, Arachnida, Araneae, Nephilidae.
GUCUCUGCAGCGCAAUGGAUAGCGCGCGUUGGACUUCUAAUCCAAAGGUCGUGGUUUAGAAUCCCUCUUGGGAUG